RNAcentral lists this transfer RNA (62 nucleotides) under Cavia porcellus (domestic guinea pig). It matches the Rfam family "tRNA". From Rfam's summary of the family: Transfer RNA (tRNA) molecules are approximately 80 nucleotides in length. Their secondary structure includes four short double-helical elements and three loops (D, anti-codon, and T loops). Lineage: Eukaryota; Metazoa; Chordata; Mammalia; Rodentia; Caviidae. The record is from Rfam by way of RNAcentral.
AGGGAUUUAGCUCAGCGGCAAAAGCACCUGCCUGGCAAGCACGAGGUCUAGUUCAAUCCCUG